Molecule: long non-coding RNA, 533 nt
Organism: Fundulus heteroclitus (mummichog)
Lineage: Eukaryota; Metazoa; Chordata; Actinopteri; Cyprinodontiformes; Fundulidae
Exons: 3
Source: RefSeq, a predicted model, not a curated record
GCAGCAUCUUUGUUCAUCUUUGUGGGCCGCUGUGUUCAGAACCAACACAUCAGAACUUCAGAGGAAAUGUUCCCUCCUUCAUUCACUCUGGAUGUUUCUACAGACCUGGAACAGGAUUCUAGUUCAGACCUGAAAAGGUUUCACCCUCAGUUUUAGCUUCAUUCUCUGAAGAAACCAGAACUUCUCCAGAUGGUUCUGAGGAGAUCACCCAGCAGACAUCAGGAGGUGCAUGAAGUAGUGAAGGAGAGGACAAUCCAGACCCAGAUGGUACCUGCUGAACUCAGGCUGACUGAAGUCCAGGAGAUGGAGAACAAAGCAGAACCUCCGGGAUCCAGCUGUCCGUCUAUGAGGAGUGACAGGUCCAAAGGAGAUGUUCCAUUGUUCAGUGCAGAACCUGGACCCUCAGACUCAGAACCAGGACCUGGACUGCUGGCAGCCAAUCAGAGCAGCUGUGCUCCAGGUGAGACUGAACAUCUCCAAUCAGAACUUCCUUCUAUCGUCUCUGUUGGACUAAUUCCUCGUCUUUAGUUGGC